CCCGGAACGUCUGUGUGCGGCGGCGUCCCUACUGUGUGAGGGCCGACGAAACUAAGACGUCCCGUUUGGGGGAUCCUUCCUCGAGCCCCGCCCGGCGUGUUUGUUUAGGGAGAGAGAAAGCCCCAAAUACACCACUUCCCCCCCGGGGUUGUAACAUAUUACCAGAGGCCCAAAGUUCCCCCAGAAAAAGCCGGCUAGGCCCACACAUUUAUGGUUUUUUCCCCUUUAGGCCCCCCCGGUUUUUACCUUAUUGUUCCGGCCUUAAUUUGGUGGAAUUGGGGCGAAACAAUUUCCCCAAGGAAACGUUUUGCCCAUGUUUCCCCAAGAUUUUAGGGGCCCCUUAGGAAACCCCAGAUUGCCUCCCACGCGUGGGAAGCUUCCCAAUAGUUCGACCUCCAGGGGGCCCGGAAUUCCAUUGGGAUUCCAAGCUUGAAUUCGUAGUCAUAUGCUUGUUCAAAGAAUAAACCCAUGCAUUUUUAAGUUUAAGCUUUAAACUUGGAAACUGGGAAUGGCUCAUUAAAUCAGUUAAAGUUUAUUGAUGGGGUUUCUUACUCGGAUAACCGUAGGAAAACUAGAGCUAAUACGUGCGUAAAUCCCGACUUCGGAAGGGACGUAUUUAUUAGAUAAGAGGCCGACCGGGCUUGUCCCGACCUUCGGUGAAUCAUGAUAACUUCACGAAUCGCAUGGUCAUGAACCGGCGAUGUUUCAUUCAAAUUUCUGCCCUAUCAACUUUCGACGGUAGGGUAGUGGCCUACCGUGGUGGUAACGGGUGACGGAGGAUUAGGGUUCGAUUCCGGAGAGGGAGCCUGAGAAACGGCUACCACAUCCAAGGAAGGCAGCAGGCGCGCAAAUUACCCAAAUCCCAACUCGGGGAGGUAGUGACAAGAAAUAACGAUGCUCCGGCCUCUGGUCGGGUAAUCGGAAUGAGAACAAUUUAAAUCCCUUAUCGAGGAUCAAUUGGAGGGCAAGUCUGGUGCCAGCAGCCGCGGUAAUUCCAGCUCCAAUAGCGUAUAUUUAAGUUGCUGCGGUUAAAAAGCUCGUAGUCGGAUUUCGGGUGGCGCCUACCGGUCCGCCUUUGGUGAGUACUGGUAGGUACCUCCUUUCUGCCGAGGACGGGGUUCUGGGCUUAAUUGUCUGGGCCCCGGAGUCGGCGAUGUCACUUUGAGUAAAUUAGGGUGUUCAAAGCAGGCUUAUGCUCUGUAUACACUAGCAUGGGAUGACACGAUAGGACUUCGGUUUAUCUUGUCGGUCUGUAGAUCGGAGUAAUGAUAAAGAGGGACAGUCGGGGGCAUUCGUAUUUCGUAGUCAGAGGUGAAAUUCUUGGAUUUACGGAAGACGAACUUCUGCGAAAGCAUUUGCCAAGGAUGUUUUCAUUGAUCAAGAACGAAAGUCGGGGGCUCGAAGACGAUUAGAUACCGUCGUAGUCUCGACCAUAAACGAUGCCGACUAGGGAUCGGAGGUGGUUUUUUUAUGACCUCUCCGGCACCUUACGAGAAAUCAAAGUUUCUGGGUUCCGGGGGGAGUAUGGUCGCAAGGCUGAAACUUAAAGGAAUUGACGGAAGGGCACCACCAGGCGUGGAGCCUGCGGCUUAAUUUGACUCAACACGGGA
Molecule: ribosomal RNA, 1610 nt
Filed under: Cephaleuros virescens
Lineage: Eukaryota; Viridiplantae; Chlorophyta; Ulvophyceae; Trentepohliales; Trentepohliaceae
Description: bacterial SSU rRNA
Rfam family: Eukaryotic small subunit ribosomal RNA (bases 423-1610)
Source: RNAcentral